This 670-nucleotide ribosomal RNA is filed under the name uncultured bacterium. RNAcentral's name for it is "bacterial SSU rRNA". It matches the Rfam family "Bacterial small subunit ribosomal RNA", at positions 8 to 676 of the family's 1533-position model. The record is from RNAcentral.
AGAGUUUGAUUAUGGCUCAGGAUGAACGCUGGCGGCGUGCUUAACACAUGCAAGUCGAACGAAGCACUUAGGACAGAUUACUUCGGUUUGAAGUCCUAUUUGACUGAGUGGCGGACGGGUGAGUAACGCGUGGGUAACCUGCCUCAUACAGGGGGAUAACAGUUAGAAAUGACUGCUAAUACCGCAUAAGCGCACAGUCUCGCAUGGGACAGUGUGAAAAACUCCGGUGGUAUGAGAUGGACCCGCGUCUGAUUAGCUAGUUGGUGAGGUAACGGCUCACCAAGGCGACGAUCAGUAGCCGGCCUGAGAGGGUGAACGGCCACAUUGGGACUGAGACACGGCCCAAACUCCUACGGGAGGCAGCAGUGGGGAAUAUUGCACAAUGGGGGAAACCCUGAUGCAGCGACGCCGCGUGAAGGAAGAAGUAUUUCGGUAUGUAAACUUCUAUCAGCAGGGAAGAAAAUGACGGUACCUGACUAAGAAGCCCCGGCUAACUACGUGCCAGCAGCCGCGGUAAUACGUAGGGGGCAAGCGUUAUCCGGAUUUACUGGGUGUAAAGGGAGCGUAGGCGGUUCAGCAAGUCAGAAGUGAAAGCCCGGGGCUCAACUCCGGGACUGCUUUUGAAACUGUUGAACUAGAUUGCAGGAGAGGUAAGUGGAAUUCCUAGUGU